CUCUUUUUGGUAGAAUGUUAUUCUACUGCAUUUUCACUGCAGAGAUGCGAGUUCGAUUUUCGCAAGGGGUG
Molecule: transfer RNA, 71 nt
Filed under: Beta vulgaris subsp. vulgaris (sugar beet)
Lineage: Eukaryota; Viridiplantae; Streptophyta; Magnoliopsida; Caryophyllales; Amaranthaceae
Rfam family: tRNA
About the family: Transfer RNA (tRNA) molecules are approximately 80 nucleotides in length. Their secondary structure includes four short double-helical elements and three loops (D, anti-codon, and T loops).
Source: Rfam by way of RNAcentral